Molecule: long non-coding RNA, 3908 nt
Organism: Vespula vulgaris
Lineage: Eukaryota; Metazoa; Arthropoda; Insecta; Hymenoptera; Vespidae
Exons: 4
Source: RefSeq, a predicted model, not a curated record
CACGCCAUAAAUGCUCUUUGCGAGAAAUCCAACGUGCUCGCGCGAACGGUAACGAGCAGCAAGCACAACUACGACGACGACGACGACGACAACGACGACGACGAUGACGACGAUGGCGAUGGCGAUGGCGUAUGGUGGCAACGGCACAGUAGUGCCGGGAACGCCGGCAACGGUUCAAAAACCUCGAUGGAAAACUAAAACCAAUCGAGCAACCUAGGCGCAUUUAACGAGUUUUACUACUCCACGGGAUUUCUUAUCUCAACCGCGGCGUUGCGUAACCACUCAUUGUGUUGGAUGCGAGCGCGUUAACUCGACUGAAAUAAUGCGGCGAACCACCGUUCUCUGUUCACGUGCGAGUAGAAACGCGCAACGCGAAGAAUGCGCGCUCAUUGUGAGGAGGAGAUGGGGGUGGAGGACGCGGACGAAGACGAGGACGAGGAGGAGGAAGAGGAAGAGAAGGAGGACCUAGGGCUUCCACAGCGUAAUAUGUCGCAUAACGCGCCGUAAUACUACACCAGACGACGACGAAGAAGAGUGCCAGGUUGUAACCCAAUAGGAGCCGUGUUGGGCACACUUGUGGCAUGCGCCAGCUUCACUCUUUCCCUCUCGCUUCUACUACUAUUACUCCCUCUUUCUCUCUCUUUCUUUCUCUCUCUCUCUCUCUCUCUCUCUCUCUCUCUCUCUGUUUCGAUCCACAAGCGUUCUCGAGCACGGCUCGACCGCGCGUCACGCUCGACGAAUAAAUAUACGAUCUAAUUUCUCUGAUUGUAUCAACGGGUAUACACGUCGACAACGAAAAUUCUAAAAAUAAUUCCACGGAAAGAGAGGGAGAGAGAAAGGGGGAAAGAUAAAGUUUCUCCUUCGUUGGUUUUUUAUUUUUUAUUUUUUUAUUUUUUUUAUUUUAUUUUUUAUGGAAGAACGUGCGUUCUCUCUUGAGAAUCCCUUUCGGUAUUCAUCGGUAAAAUCUGAGAACAUUUGACGAGUCACGUCUGAUCGUAUAAGUCUUGCAACUUUCGUGAUAUCUCGUUGCGAUAAGAGAGCUGUAACGAGUCCGGUAACUCGAUCGAAAGCAUUCAACGUUUGCAUCAAAAUCGUACAUAUACAUGUAUACACACACACACGCGCACACACACACACACACACACAUAUACAUAUAUACAUACAAUUAAUAUAAUUAAUAUAACGAAUAAAAAUUUCUAAAAAUUUCGAAUAUGUCUCAACGUCUGAAUUAAAGACUUUGCUUUAAACGUUGAUAAAUACACAUCGAUCGAUAUUUUACCUCUUUUUCCCUUUCUUUUUCUCUUUCGUUUCCUUUCGUUUCAAGCAACGAUCGAACGAAAAUCUUAUACGAAGGAUUCUCCGAAGCGAGAGUGGACGCGUGGCAAGCUUCUCUCUUAGCACGUGACGACUGCUAAAGUAAGUGGCUGUCUUAAGUCAAAAGCCGAGCACAGGUGUGCGAGCGUAAUCGCGAUGUCACGGCCGAGUCACGGCCGAAUCACGAACCCCGCCCCCCACCCUUCGCAUCCUUCCACCUCCUCCUCCUCCUCCUCCUCCUUUCUCCGUUCUACGACCUCUUCCUCUUCUCCCUUCUUUCGAUCAUCUUUCUUUCCCUUUUUUCCUCCCCCUCUCUUCCCCCUCUCUCUCUCCUCUCUUCCUCCUUCUUCUCCCCACUCCUUCUCACAGUUACUCUUUUCCUCCCACCCCCCUUCAUCACAGAACGAACCCGUUUACGCGAAGAGCCUUGGACCUUUCUUACAGCCACCGUAAUAUCUUGUUUUAUCUGCCCACUUUCUGAAAGUUGUUCAUUACUUUCUUGUUGACCCGGAGGCUGCCUCCAUCCAGCUAUAACUUCUUUCUACCUGUUUCUAUCUUCGUCGUUGAACUUGACCGAUCAUGAAGGAAGCACCGAUCACGUUACUUUAACCCUUUAAGGUUCGUCGUAAAAAAAGAAAAAAAAAAUAAAGAAAAGGGAAGAGAAAAGGGAAGGAAGAGGAAUGAAAGAAAGUCAAAAGAAAAUGAGAAAAAAGAAAAACAGAAUCAUGUUGGUGCUAUUUCUCAUGAGUGAAAUUACGUCGUACUAGGUAUAUUAUCUUUUUUAUUCAAAAAGGAAAAAAAAGAGAGAGGAAGAUUAUACGACGAAAGAAAAGAAGAAGAAGAAGAAGAAGAACAAAUUCUGUCGUAUCGAAUGAAAACGAGGAAAAAAAAAACAAAAAUAAAAAAAAGAUUCAAUCUUAAACAACGACUUGAUUUGCAAAUAUAACGCGAGAGCGACGUGCAAGUAUAAGAAAAACAAUAAUUUCACUUUCGAUAUUUCUCGCGUCAAUUUGUACUUGUUGUAUAAUUCACAGCUGAUAAAUAAGAUCCUUUUAAGAUGUCCAAUAGGAGAAUAAUCUUCGACGAUAAUUCUUUAACGUCUGAAGAAAAUGAAAAGAAAAAGAUUAAAAUAGAACGUAGAAAAUUCCCGAUGAGAAAUGAUAUAAUUUUCUUCAAGAAAUAAGACGUUGAAGACGCGCGCACGUUAGAUGAAUAAAGUGUGGUCCGAUGAUGCGGCAGAAGCAGUGGCAGUCGUUCCGGAGACGGUAGUGGCUACCGACGACUCCUCUCCUUCAGGGGUGGAUGACUCCGGGGUCGGCUCGCUCGGUGAAGAAGAGGGAGGGAAAGUAGAGCGAGGAUCCAAGGUGAAGUUAGAAGAUAGCAACCACCAGGCCUGGCGGAGGAAGGCAACGCGUGCACGUUCUGGGCGGAGUAGGAGAACGAUCCGUAGGGCCAGGAGUCAUCGAGUGACACACGCACGACCGCCACGCUUCGUGGUCACGGUCAAAGCGCACGCGGAACACCACGAAGAGCUAGAUCCUACUUUCGCGAAAUACGAAAAAUCUACAUUUUAUUCCCUCUGGUAAUGAAACGGUAGAGAAGAAGAAGAAGAGGGCUGUGAACGGGACCUCGGAUGAAGAAGGAAUGAAGGAUUUUCAUUGAUCGGGAACAUUGCUUAUACGAGAAGGUUUUUCAAGAUGUGUGUGGUAAACAAAAAGAUGUAAAUAAAUAUAUCCCGAUAGAAGCUUACGCUAUCUCAAAUAGUACGAAAGUAAAUAGGAAUGAAAAAGAGAGAGAGGGGGAAAAGUCUCUCAUUAGCAAGGUUAUUCGAGAGGACACUGACGUUCGCGUUUCAUAAAACGAACAACGCUCACGCACCAGGACGCACAUGAGUAUAACAGGGAGGACUGUGAUUUUUCUUCGCGUGGCCCCACGCGGGCCACGACGUAUGUACGCCCACUGACAACAACCAUGAAGCAGAGAAAGAGAGAGAAGAAGAAGAAGAAGGAGAAGAAGAAAAAGAAGGAGAAAAAGAAUAAUAAGAAGAAGACGACAACGAAGACGACGACGCAUCGUACGCGUAAUAUAAAAGGGCUCAAAUUAUCCAGGAAGCGAGGAGAACCCGGACGAGGAGCUAUGCUCGAGCGUAAAGAAGGUCUUUUCUCGAGUGUAGGCCAUUGCAUCAAAGAGGGGACCUUCUUCGUGUGAGCGAAAGAGAGAGAGGGAGAGAGAGAGAGAGAGGGUGUUCGAGCUACGUACCUAUAUUGCCGUAAUUUUCACAGCGAGAGAGGAGAAAGAGGAAGGGCUUCCCUCGAACGGUGCUACGAUCUCUGAUGCAACGUAUAAUCAAACGAACAGCGAUGUGUUCAGGUCAGUGGCUGAUAGCGUCGAAUCUUUUUUAUUAUAUAUAUAUAUAUAUGUGUGUGUGUAUUUUUUUCUUUUCAUUUUUCUUUUCUUUUUUUUUUCUAUUCUUCUUUUUGUCUUUUUUACAUCCAACAUUAUACGGAGAGCAUUGCGUUCCGUCCUUUUUUAUUCGAUUUGUAAUUUUAUGUUGCUGAUAUCAAUUAUAUUAUAUGUUAAUGAUAUCAAUUAAC